UACGUAGGGUGCAAGCGUUGUCCGGAAUUAUUGGGCGUAAAGAGCUCGUAGGCGGCUUGUCACGUCGACUGUGAAAACCCGGGGCUCAACUCCGGGCCUGCAGUCGAUACGGGCUGGCUUGAGUGCGGUAGGGGAGACUGGAAUUCCUGGUGUAGCGGUGAAAUGCGCAGAUAUCAGGAGGAACACCGAUGGCGAAGGCAGGUCUCUGGGCCGAUACUGACGCUGAGGAGCGAAAGCGUGGGGAGCGAACAGG
This 253-nucleotide ribosomal RNA is filed under the name uncultured bacterium. RNAcentral's name for it is "partial 16S ribosomal RNA". It matches the Rfam family "Bacterial small subunit ribosomal RNA", at positions 524 to 776 of the family's 1533-position model. The record is from RNAcentral.